AGGUCCUGCCUGCCCAGUGACUAUGUUAAACGGCCGCGGUAUUUUGACCGUGCAAAGGUAGCGCAAUCACUUGUCUUUUAAAUGAAGACCUGUAUGAAUGGUGGAACGAGGGCCUAACUGUCUCCCCUUUCAAGUCAAUGAAAUUGAUCUGCCCGUGCAGAAGCGGGUAUAUAACUACAAGACGAGAAGACCCUUUGGAGCUUAAGAUUAAAAAUCAACUAUGUCAAAUAUUUAUUAAAUAGAACCAAAUAGCAACUGAUUGUAAUCUUCGGUUGGGGCGACCACGGAAUAAAAAUAAACUUCCACACGGACUGAGGACUAACCUUAAAACCAAGAAAGACACUUCUAAGACACAGAAUUUCUGACCAAAUAGAUCCGGCAAAUUGCCGAUCAAUGGACCAAGUUACCCUAGGGAUAACAGCGCAAUCCCCUUUUAGAGUUCCUAUCGACAAGGGGGUUUACGACCUCGAUGUUGGAUCAGGAC
RNAcentral lists this ribosomal RNA (484 nucleotides) under Scleromystax cf. prionotus MT169. Its description in RNAcentral is "partial 16S ribosomal RNA". It matches the Rfam family "Bacterial large subunit ribosomal RNA", at positions 1850 to 2543 of the family's 2925-position model. Lineage: Eukaryota; Metazoa; Chordata; Actinopteri; Siluriformes; Callichthyidae. The record is from RNAcentral.